RNAcentral lists this ribosomal RNA (253 nucleotides) under Anaerostipes hadrus ATCC 29173 = JCM 17467. RNAcentral describes it as "Anaerostipes hadrus DSM 3319 partial 16S ribosomal RNA". It matches the Rfam family "Bacterial small subunit ribosomal RNA", at positions 524 to 776 of the family's 1533-position model. Lineage: Bacteria; Bacillati; Bacillota; Clostridia; Lachnospirales; Lachnospiraceae. The record is from RNAcentral.
UACGUAGGGGGCAAGCGUUAUCCGGAAUUACUGGGUGUAAAGGGUGCGUAGGUGGUAUGGCAAGUCAGAAGUGAAAACCCAGGGCUUAACUCUGGGACUGCUUUUGAAACUGUCAGACUGGAGUGCAGGAGGGGUAAGCGGAAUUCCUAGUGUAGCGGUGAAAUGCGUAGAUAUUAGGAGGAACAUCAGUGGCGAAGGCGGCUUACUGGACUGAAACUGACACUGAGGCACGAAAGCGUGGGGAGCAAACAGG